RNAcentral lists this ribosomal RNA (904 nucleotides) under Cephalotrichum microsporum. RNAcentral describes it as "LSU rRNA". It matches the Rfam family "Eukaryotic large subunit ribosomal RNA", at positions 38 to 965 of the family's 3401-position model. The record is from RNAcentral. Lineage: Eukaryota; Fungi; Ascomycota; Sordariomycetes; Microascales; Microascaceae.
GCAUAUCAAUAAGCGGAGGAAAAGAAACCAACAGGGAUUACCUUAAGUUAACGGCGAAGUGAAGCGGUAACAGCUCAAAUUUGAAAUCUGGUCCCCUCUGGGGGCCCGAGUUGUAAUUUGAAGAGGAUGCUUUUGGCGAGGCGCCUUCCGAGUGCCCUGGAACGGGACGCCACAGAGGGUGAGAGCCCCGUAUGGUAGGACGCCGAGCCUCUGUAAAGCUCCUUCGACGAGUCGAGUAGUUUGGGAAUGCUGCUCAAAAUGGGAGGUAAACCCCUUCUAAAGCUAAAUAUUGGCCAGAGACCGAUAGCGCACAAGUAGAGUGAUCGAAAGAUGAAAAGCACUUUGAAAAGAGAGUUAAACAGCACGUGAAAUUGUUGAAAGGGAAGCGCUUGCGACCAGACUUGCGCCCGUCGGAUCAACCGUCCCUCGUGGGCGGCGCACUCCGGCGGGCUCAGGCCAGCAUCAGUUUUCCCGGGGGGAGAAAGGCGGUGGGAAUGUGGCUCUUCGGAGUGUUAUAGCCCUCCGCGUAAUGCCCCCGGGGGGACUGAGGACCGCGCGUAAGCAAGGAUGCUGGCGUAAUGGUCGUCAGCGACCCGUCUUGAAACACGGACCAAGGAGUCGUCCUAAUAUGCGAGUGUACGGGUGUAAAACCCCUGCGCGUAAUGAAAGUGAACGGAGGUGAGAGCUUCGGCGCAUCAUCGACCGAUCCUGAUGUUCUCGGAUGGAUUUGAGUAAGAGCAUAUUGGGCCGGACCCGAAAGAAGGUGAACUAUGCCUGUAUAGGGUGAAGCCAGAGGAAACUCUGGUGGAGGCUCGCAGCGGCUCUGACGUGCAAAUCGAUCGUCAAAUAUGGGCAUGGGGGGCGAAAGACUAAUCGAACCUUCUAGUAGCUGGUUUCCGCCGAA